UAGAGUUUGGUUAAGAUUUAGGAUUUGGUUUAUGAUUUGAUUUGGUUUAGUUAGGAUUUAGUUAGGAUUUAGGUUUUGCUUUAGGAUUUGAUUUAGAUUAGGAUUUGAUUAAGAUUUAUUUAGGAUUUGAUUAAAAUUUGAUUAGGAUUUGUUUAGGAUUUAUUUAGGAUUUGAUUAGAAUUUGAUUAGAAUUAUUUUAGAGUUUGAUUAGGAUUUGACUAAGAUUUGUCUAAGAUUAGUUUAAGAUUUGGUUAAGACCUAUUCAGGGUUCAAGAUUUGAUUUAGGAUUUGAUUUUAUUAAGAUUUGGUUAAGAUUUAAGAUUUGAUUUAGGAUUUGGUUUAGAUUAGAAUUUGGUUAGGAUUCGUUUAUAAUUUGAUUAGAGUUUGGUUAGGAUUUAUUUAGGAUUCGAUCAGGAUUUAAUUAAGAUUUAUCUAGGAUUUGAUUAGGACUUAUUUAGGAUUUGUUUAAGGAUUGUCUAGAAUUUGAUUAAGAUUUGUUUAGGAUUUGAUUACGAUUUGGUUAGGAUUUGUUUAAAGUUUGAUUAGGAUUUUUUUAGGAUUUGAUUAGGACUUAUUUAGGAUUUGUCUAGGAUUUGACUAGGGUUUGGUUUAGGAUUUGGUUAGGACCUUUUAGGAUUUGAUUAGAGUUUGACCAAGAUUUUAUUAGGUUUUGACUAAAAUUUAAUUAAGAUUUUUAUUUUAAUAUUUUAUUAAGAUUUCUAUUUUAGUAUUUUUUUAACUUCUAUGUUUUUUAAUGGUUUCUUUAAAAGUUCUCUAAAAAUUCUUUAUAUUAUUUAUAUAAUUUCUUUAAAAUUUUAAUUGAAUUUAAUUGAUGUUUGAUUAUAUUUUUUAAUUUUUAAUUAUAAUUUAUUUAAGGAUCUAUUAGAGUUGUUAAGACUUAUUUUUUCAAUUCUUUUUUUUAUCUUCCA
This 929-nucleotide long non-coding RNA is filed under the name Physcomitrium patens. RNAcentral describes it as "long non-coding RNA (PPAT_LNC007310)". The record is from RNAcentral. Lineage: Eukaryota; Viridiplantae; Streptophyta; Bryopsida; Funariales; Funariaceae.